Molecule: non-coding RNA, 77 nt
Organism: Tolypothrix sp. PCC 7601
Lineage: Bacteria; Bacillati; Cyanobacteriota; Cyanophyceae; Nostocales; Tolypothrichaceae
Source: Rfam
AGGAGCCGGAUGAGGUGAAAGUCUCACGUCCGGUUCUGAAGACGAGCGGGACUCGUGAGAGUUUCGCUUAGUUUAAU